AAAAGUUUCUUGCUUCUUCCAAGAGCAAGUGGUGCGGAUGGAGGAAACUCCCGCUCAGUUUCUUGCUUCUGAUCAAAGAGCAAGUGGCGUGCAUGUAA
This 98-nucleotide non-coding RNA is filed under the name unclassified sequences. Its description in RNAcentral is "wcaG RNA". It matches the Rfam family "wcaG RNA". The record is from RNAcentral.